RNAcentral lists this ribosomal RNA (372 nucleotides) under uncultured bacterium. RNAcentral describes it as "bacterial SSU rRNA". It matches the Rfam family "Bacterial small subunit ribosomal RNA", at positions 523 to 898 of the family's 1533-position model. The record is from RNAcentral.
AUACGUAGGGGGCAAGCGUUAUCCGGAAUCAUUGGGCGUAAAGGGUGCGUAGGCGGCCUUAUAAGUCAGAGGUCAAAGGCUACGGCUCAACCGUAGUAAGCCUUUGAAACUGUAGGGCUUGAGUGCAGGAGAGGAGAGUGGAAUUCCUAGUGUAGCGGUGAAAUGCGUAGAUAUUAGGAGGAACACCAGUGGCGAAGGCGACUCUCUGGACUGCAACUGACGCUGAGGCACGAAAGCGUGGGUAGCGAACAGGAUUAGAUACCCUGGUAGUCCACGCCGUAAACGAUGAGUGCUAGGUGUCGGGGGUCAAACCUCGGUGCCGCAGUUAACGCAUUAAGCACUCCGCCUGGGGAGUACGUACGCAAGUAUGAA